Molecule: ribosomal RNA, 253 nt
Filed under: uncultured bacterium
Lineage: Bacteria
Description: partial 16S ribosomal RNA
Rfam family: Bacterial small subunit ribosomal RNA
Source: RNAcentral
UACGGGGGGGGCAAGCGUUGUUCGGAAUUACUGGGCGUAAAGGGUGCGUAGGUGGUUGUUUAAGUCUGUUGUGAAAGCCCCGGGCUCAACCUGGGAAUGGCAAUGGAUACUGGACAGCUAGAGUGCGGUAGAGGGUAGUGGAAUUCCCGGUGUAGCAGUGAAAUGCGUAGAGAUCGGGAGGAACACCAGUGGCGAAGGCGGCUACCUGGACCAGCACUGACACUGAAGCACGAAAGCGUGGGGAGCAAACAGG